GUUCACCCUGCUGAGAGAAGGGGCAAGAAAUAGCGAAUAGAGAGAAGGGGCUCACAAUAGUGAAUUAUAACUCCCUCCUGCAACUAAGGAGAGUUGCUAGUUUACAAAUGUUCAUUGGCAGAGAUAGAUGAACUAAGAACAUCUUGCUGAAAACUUACCAUUACUAACACCCCUGAUGUUUACAUGAAAGGGUAACCGCUCUGGAGGACAAGUAGUUGCUGCAAGUGUAGGCGUUUUGUGAGGAAGAAGAGUGUGUAAGAUCGGGAUUUACUGUUUUGAAAUUGCCCUUUUUACUGCCAUGUCCUAUUUUAGGUUGCCAGUCUCAGCAUUUGGUGAAGAGACUUGUCGAUCAUUUGUAGAUGGUAUAGCUGAAGAAUAUAAUUGGGGGUGGGAAGACGGGAAAAAUCGCAUUGCAGAUUUCCUCGAAUUCCUUGAUGUGGCAGAAUGCCAAGGUUCAUGCUAAUAAUGCCAGUUUAGGAGAUUGGCGAGCCACUGCUUGGUCAGGUCUUCUUAGAGCAGAUUAGGCUUCUGUGGAGAUUAAGGGUCUUGGUGGAUAGGGAGAGAGUGCAUCAAUUGAAGAAAAACUAAAUUGUCAAAUGCUAUAAGAGGAAAUGGCAAAUAUUGGCCAAGUUUCUCCUCCGGCCAAGUAUAGGAAGUGAGGCAGAUGACGUACAGCUGAAGUCCAUUGUAAGUGAUGAAAGAAUCUCAUAAUUACUCCAUGCAUGGUCGGGAGUGUUGGGGCAGAGGAGAGGUUGAACAGCUACAUUCUUAUAACAAACAAGAGCCUGGAGUUGGUCUGACAUUGCUGAUCCCAGGAUUGUUUUCCCUGGUGCACUGGAGACUGAGAUGUAACCUGAUUGAUGUUUAUAAAAUGGUGAGUAGGGUAGAUAGUCGUAGAUGGGAGUGUAAAUACUAGAGGGCAUAGCUUUAAGGUGAAGAAAGAAGAUUUGCAAAGCUUUUUUUUACACAGAGAAUGAUUGGUGCCUAGAACGCGCUGCCAGGGCAGAUAGUAGAAUCAGAUAUGAUAGCUACUUUUAAACAGUCACAUGAACAUGCAGGGAAUAGAGGGAUGCAGACCAUAUGCAAACAGAUUGGAUGCAUUUAGACUGGCAUCAUAGUCAGAGCUUAGUGCUGGUGGGCCUAAGGGCCAGUUCUUGAGCUGCACUGUUCUAUAUGUAAUUGUACAAAUAAAAAGGACCUUUCGCUUGGUGGUGGCUCUUUCUUCAUUUUUAGAUUUCCAAUGAAAGUAAGCAACCUCAAUAUUAAGUGAUAACCUGGUCUAAAACAAUCUCGUUAAUGGAAAUGGCAAAAUAAAAACUGUGUUUAGUGUUGUUCCUGAAUCUUACGCUGUUGUUGAUGAAGGAGCUUUUUUUAAAUUGGAGAUUUAAAAUAGAUUUACCUGCAGGCGAGAGAACAGAGUUGGCAGCAGUUGUGGCAAAAUGGUUGGAGCUUACAAAAUAAUUUAAAACCAUAUAUAAAGAGGAGCUCUGGCAAGAAAACCUUGGCAAAGGGUAGCCUUUAUUAACGGCACUCCCAAGAUUAGAAAUUGUUUAUGGCAGAGGUUAAUAAGGAUCAGUCGAAGAAAACUUGUUGAGCCAAGCAAGGAAAUGAAUUCAGAUUAUACAAAAUGGUGAGGGCAAAAGAGGUAAAAGCAAUAAAGAAUGCUAUUUUUGUCAGUGGAAAGUGCAGAAGCAGACAGUGCUGAACAUGAUGUGACAGUUCAACAAUUUAUAUAAGGAAAUGCUGAUAUAGGGGCAAAGAGUUUCACCUCAGGAUUGGAGAGGGUAAUAAAAUUAACAUCUGCAACUGGACACCUGAACAUGGACAAAAAUCAGAAUAAGCAAACAGAAUGAAGGAGAGUCCUACAGGG
Molecule: long non-coding RNA, 1870 nt
Organism: Amblyraja radiata (thorny skate)
Lineage: Eukaryota; Metazoa; Chordata; Chondrichthyes; Rajiformes; Rajidae
Exons: 2
Source: RefSeq, a predicted model, not a curated record